GAUGAACGCUGGCGGCGUGCCUAAUACAUGCAAGUCGAGCGAACAGACGAGGAGCUUGCUCCUCUGACGUUAGCGGCGGACGGGUGAGUAACACGUGGAUAACCUACCUAUAAGACUGGGAUAACUUCGGGAAACCGGAGCUAAUACCGGAUAAUAUAUUGAACCGCAUGGUUCAAUAGUGAAAGACGGUUUUGCUGUCACUUAUAGGUGGAUCCGCGCCGCAUUAGCUAGUUGGUAAGGUAACGGCUUACCAAGGCAACGAUGCGUAGCCGACCUGAGAGGGUGAUCGGCCACACUGGAACUGAGACACGGUCCAGACUCCUACGAGAGGCAGCAGUAGGGAAUCUUCCGCAAUGGGCGAAAGCCUGACGGAGCAACGCCGCGUGAGUGAUGAAGGUCUUCGGAUCGUAAAACUCUGUUAUUAGGGAAGAACAAAUGUGUAAGUAACUAUGCACGUCUUGACGGUACCUAAUCAGAAAGCCACGGCUAACUACGUG
RNAcentral lists this ribosomal RNA (497 nucleotides) under uncultured bacterium. RNAcentral's name for it is "partial 16S ribosomal RNA". It matches the Rfam family "Bacterial small subunit ribosomal RNA", at positions 28 to 507 of the family's 1533-position model. The record is from RNAcentral.